UGCCGCGGUGAAUACGUUCCCGGGCCUUGUACACACCGCCCGUCACACCAUGGGAGUUGGUUUUACCCGAAGGCGCUGUGCUAACCGCAAGGAGGCAGGCGACCACGGUAGGGUCAGCGACUGGGGUGAAGUCGUAACAAGGUAGCCGUAGGGGAACCUGCGGCUGGAUCACCUCCUUUCUAAGGAAGC
RNAcentral lists this ribosomal RNA (189 nucleotides) under Brucella intermedia M86. RNAcentral describes it as "Ochrobactrum intermedium M86 partial 16S ribosomal RNA". It matches the Rfam family "Bacterial small subunit ribosomal RNA", at positions 1355 to 1533 of the family's 1533-position model. The record is from RNAcentral. Lineage: Bacteria; Pseudomonadati; Pseudomonadota; Alphaproteobacteria; Hyphomicrobiales; Brucellaceae.